GGACUACCAGGGUAUCUAAUCCCGUUCGCUCCCCCAGCUUUCGCGCCUCAGCGUCAAGAAAGCUCCAGAAGACCGCCUUCGCCACUGGUGUUCCUACCGAUAUCUACGCAUUUCACCGCUACACCGGUAAUUCCAUCUUCCCCUGGCCUCUUCAAGACUGGCAGUAUCCACCGACCCUCCGGGGUUGAGCCCCGGGCUUUCACGGCAGACUUACCAACCCGCCUACGCGCCCUUUACGCCCAGUAACUUCGGACAACGCUCGCCCCCUCCGUAUUACCGCGGCUGCUGGCAC
RNAcentral lists this ribosomal RNA (292 nucleotides) under uncultured bacterium. RNAcentral describes it as "partial 16S ribosomal RNA". The record is from RNAcentral.